CAGGACCGCGCGCGGCGCAUUCCGCCCGGACCAGAAGCGUCUCUCAUCUGUGAAGACAUGAAUGGGUCAUAAAAAAUAGGAAAAGAUAUUAGCCCUCACUAUCAAGAAAGAAAUGAAACUCGAAACCGGAAAAAGUGAUACACUGGAAACAAGAUCAAUGUUCAUCAUUAAGGGGCUCAAACUAAACUGUCACAGUGAAUAGAAUAUUAUGCAGCCAUUAAAAAUGAAGUGUAUUUACUGGAGAGAUGUUCACAAUGUAUUGUUAUGUGAAGAAAGUUAUAAGCCAACGUGUCUGGAAGGACCUAUCGAGAAUGUUAGCAGUGGUUCUCUCCAGAUGUUUUAUUAGUCACUUUUUUACUUUCUACUUCAAACCUGUAAGUACUGUCUGAGUUUUAACAAUGAGGAAUUAUUACCUCUUUUGUUAACAAAUUAAUAAACGCAUGGUGAAAUAAAGUUUUAAUCUUUUGGAAA
Molecule: long non-coding RNA, 471 nt
Organism: Miniopterus natalensis
Lineage: Eukaryota; Metazoa; Chordata; Mammalia; Chiroptera; Miniopteridae
Source: RefSeq, a predicted model, not a curated record